CACAACUGGGAGUGAUUGACUCUGCAAUCUUAAGAAGGUCAAAUACCUUGGUGGCCUGGCUGAUUUGACUCAAGAUUACUUGCCACUCAGUGAGAGGAAGCAGAAGUGGAGUGGAUGUGAUGUUCCAGGGACCCUUUUGGUUCUGCUCUGUUGGCCCAAGUUCUGGAUAGGCUGGAUGGGAUGUCCCAAAGCCAGAGGAGCAGGUGCUCCCCACCGACCUGUCUCCAGGUCCAAAGUCCACCAUUAGACCAAGAGAGUUAACACGAACAUGUCAAGAAACACCUCUGCUCAUAAACCAACACACGUGUGCGUUACUGCAUCUUAACCUGAACGAUUGUGCGCAUGUUAGUGUGUGUGUCAUGAAG
This is a long non-coding RNA of Toxotes jaculatrix (banded archerfish), 365 nucleotides long. RefSeq lists it as uncharacterized. The transcript is spliced from 3 exons. The record is from RefSeq and is a predicted model, not a curated record. Lineage: Eukaryota; Metazoa; Chordata; Actinopteri; Toxotidae.